Molecule: long non-coding RNA, 961 nt
Organism: Lutra lutra (Eurasian river otter)
Lineage: Eukaryota; Metazoa; Chordata; Mammalia; Carnivora; Mustelidae
Exons: 3
Source: RefSeq, a predicted model, not a curated record
AUGAAGAAAUGAAUAGAGAGAAGCUUCUGUGAUUCUUGGUCUGCUUUGUGUAGGAUUUGAGAUUGUUGAAACGGCCAAGAGAAUCUGCUUUGCUACAUUUAUAAACUUAGGUUUAUACACAAAUACAUAUUUUAUGGAAACACAAGAAACUAGUCAUUGUGGCUGCCUCCACAGUGGGAACUGUAGGACAAGGGAAGAAAGGGCUGAGGACAGAGCUGGGGCCAACUACUGUGGCACAGAGCGUGGACCACCGCGGGCCCACAGUGUAUAUUUCAGUUUGCUUUUGUCGUCUGAAGGACCAAGCCCGGGGAUUCUGUAGCUAUAGCCGUCAAGAAACUGUCACAGGGACUUUCCCCACGAUGUGGACAACCCCAGGAUUCAGGCCUCGGCUUCCCAGGCUGAGAGGCCAAUGGUGGGGGAGCUUAGCGCUCAGCUCCGGCAAAGGCAGACCCGUCAUCCCCUUCCUCCCAUCCUUAGGCAGGAGCUGGCAGGAGAUCAGAUGCUACUUCAGUUCCAAGGGGCUCAUGAACAAAAGCUACCAAGUUGCUUAGAAACCUGCUUUUCUGAGGGUUCACCAGGUUUUCCUUUGUUUCUAUGGCAUUGUGUGUGUGAGUGUGCAUGAGCACGCUGAGGGCCAUCACCCCGCCAGGUCUGCAGCAAGUGGGACCAGAACGUGAGAACGGUGGGCUGCCCUGGGACACUGUCGCAGUCCCCAGGUAUCGCCAAGCCAGGCAGCCCAGGCGUUUGAGGGGCAACAAAGGGGAGCCAGCUGCCUGUGGCCAGAGGUGGACCGAGCUGUGAGCAGCUGCAGGAAGGAAGCUUUGGAUACUGAAUCCUGCACUCGCUUCAGCAACAGCCCAGAAGCCCUAGCAUGGGAGAUACCAACAACAGAACCGAGAGGGGACACCACUCUCAUCCCCUCGUUGAGCUUGGAAAAUAAAUUCUUGAGAUCAGGGUCACU